GACGAACGCUGGCGGCGUGCUUAACACAUGCAAGUCGAACGGAAAGGCACUGCUUUUGUGGGGUGCUCGAGUGGCGAACGGGUGAGUAACACGUGAGUAACCUGCCCUUGACUUUGGGAUAACUUCAGGAAACUGGGGCUAAUACCGGAUAGGAGCUCCUGCUGCAUGGUGGGGGUUGGAAAGUUUCGGCGGUUGGGGAUGGACUCGCGGCUUAUCAGCUUGUUGGUUGGGUAGUGGCUUACCAAGGCUUUGACGGGUAGCCGGCCUGAGAGGGUGACCGGCCACCUUGGGACUGAGGUACGGCCCAGACUCCAACGGGAGGCAGCAGUGGGGAAUAUUGCACAAUGGGCGGAAGUCUGAUGCAGCAACGCCGCGUGCGGGAUGACGGCCUUCGGGUUGUAAACCGCUUUCGCCUGUGACGAAGCGGGAGUGACGGUAAUGAGUAAAGAAGCACCGGCUAACUACGUG
Molecule: ribosomal RNA, 468 nt
Filed under: uncultured bacterium
Lineage: Bacteria
Description: partial 16S ribosomal RNA
Rfam family: Bacterial small subunit ribosomal RNA
Source: RNAcentral